This is a non-coding RNA of Mus musculus (house mouse), 47 nucleotides long. The record is from Rfam. NCBI's taxonomy places the organism in Eukaryota, Metazoa, Chordata, Mammalia, Rodentia, Muridae.
ACAAAGGCUCUUUUCAGAGCUAACACAUUUGUCUUUUUAAGGAGCUU